CGCGAACUCAACGAAGGCUUGGUUGCGGUUGGCGCCGACGUUGCACUUGGUGUUGACGAUCUUCCCAAAGGGUUUGCCGAGCUCAACGAGCUCCUCCUCGAUGCACUCCCACGGGAGGUUGCGCAGGUGGAGAACCUUCGAUGGCGUCUGGGUGUACCGAAAUUGUGGCUGCCCCGACGACGACGACAUCUCCGGGGAAGAUCUGGUCGGAUUUCACCCCUCCGAUCUAGGGUUGGAGUUUG
RNAcentral lists this unclassified non-coding RNA (242 nucleotides) under Hevea brasiliensis (rubber tree). Lineage: Eukaryota; Viridiplantae; Streptophyta; Magnoliopsida; Malpighiales; Euphorbiaceae. The record is from RNAcentral.